This 803-nucleotide ribosomal RNA is filed under the name uncultured Pelagibacteraceae bacterium. RNAcentral's name for it is "bacterial SSU rRNA". It matches the Rfam family "Bacterial small subunit ribosomal RNA", at positions 36 to 887 of the family's 1533-position model. Lineage: Bacteria; Pseudomonadati; Pseudomonadota; Alphaproteobacteria; Candidatus Pelagibacterales; Candidatus Pelagibacteraceae. The record is from RNAcentral.
CUGGCGGCACGCCUAACACAUGCAAGUCGAACGAAGUAGCAAUACUUAGUGGCAGACGGGUGAGUAACAUGUGGGUAUCUACCCUUUGGCCUGGAAUAACACGAGGAAACUUGUGCUAAUACUGGAUAAGUCUUUACGGAGAAAGCUUUAUGCACCAUUGGAUGAGCCCGCACUUGAUUAGUUUGUUGGUGGGGUAAUGGCCUACCAAGACUGUGAUCAAUAGCUGAUUUGAGAGGAUGAUCAGCCACAUUGGGACUGAGACACGGCCCAAACUCCUACGGGAGGCAGCAGUGGGGAAUCUUGCACAAUGGAGGAAACUCUGAUGCAGCGAUGCCGCGUGAGUGAAGAAGGCCCUUGGGUUGUAAAGCUCUUUCGUCGGGGAAGAAAAUGACUGUACCCGAAUAAGAAGGUCCGGCUAACUUCGUGCCAGCAGCCGCGGUAAUACGAAGGGACCUAGCGUAGUUCGGAAUUACUGGGCUUAAAGAGUUCGUAGGUGGUUGAAAAAGUUGGUGGUGAAAUCCCAGAGCUUAACUCUGGAACUGCCAUCAAAACUUUUCAGCUAGAGUUUGAUAGAGGAAAGCAGAAUUUCUAGUGUAGAGGUGAAAUUCGUAGAUAUUAGAAAGAAUACCAAUUGCGAAGGCAGCUUUCUGGAUCAUUACUGACACUGAGGAACGAAAGCAUGGGUAGCGAAGAGGAUUAGAUACCCUCGUAGUCCAUGCCGUAAACGAUGUGUGUUAGACGUUGGAAAUUUAUUUUCAGUGUCGCAGCGAAAGCGAUAAACACACCGCCUGGGGAGUACGACC